This 3522-nucleotide long non-coding RNA is filed under the name Panax ginseng (ginseng). RNAcentral's name for it is "long non-coding RNA (PGIN_LNC018351)". The record is from RNAcentral. Lineage: Eukaryota; Viridiplantae; Streptophyta; Magnoliopsida; Apiales; Araliaceae.
GCUCCAGACCGAAGUCUAGUUCAUGUUCUAGCUUUAAAACAUUAUUUAAUGUUAAAAUAGCUAAAAAUGCGAAAUAAAUUUUUUUUUUCUCUUUCCAUUCAUUCAUUCCUUGAAUCGCAACCUUUACAUUUCUUUUUUAUACUAGAAUCAUAUUUAUUACAUGAUUUAUUUAACCUGAGUAGAUAUGAAAAUAUGUACAAUUCAUUAUUUCAAACAUAUUCCUAAUUCAGAACAAAUGAUCUUCAUCUAUUGAAUUAUUCAAAGAUUUACUUCUCUGUGGUUUACACAUGUAAAUACCAUCAAAUGAUUCAACACAAUCUCAAUUAAAUCACUAGUCUUCUUUUCAUGCGCUCUUAAUUACGAUAGAUCGCAUCAUAGCUUUAACCUGCAAAUUGAGCACGACUGCCCAACAAGUCUAACAGUCUAUCAUGCAUAACAUAACACAUAUGUUUCACAUUCAGUUCAUGCAUUUAUAUUCUUGAUGUUCAAGCAUAUUAUAAAUGCAUUAUCACAUUUAUAUUUUGCUGGUAGCAACAUACAUACCAUAGCAUACUACACAUGUCCUGUACAUAUCACUCAUUGCACAUAUACAUUGAGUUCCCCGACUCAAUUCAAUAAUUAGUUAUAAUUUGACAUUCAUCAUUCACAAAGCAAAUAAUGCAGUUCAUAGGUAUUACAUACUUAUAAACGUAAACCAUGCUAACAAUUAUCUAUAGCAAUUAUAAGUCCACAUAAAUAAACUGAGAAACUUGCCUUGAUUGGAGAUUACCGUUAAACUUAACUUAGCUUCUUUCCAAAAUUCCUACACAAUCGUGUUUACAUAUACACACAUAUUAGGUAACCAUUUAUGUAACAAAAACAUGCAUGCAUAUAUAUUAACAAUGAUUAUUAGUAUAUAUAAACUAUAAUAUUUUAUUCUCAUCUUAAAACUAAUCUUGGUUUAUUAAGAAAUUUUAUUCAUUUUAACCUUUUUAUGCACAAUAAAGGUCUCUCAAAUUUUUAAUAUGUAAAUAUUUUACAUCUUGAAGCUUAAAUUAUCCAUAUUCUAUUUUAGGAAUAUCUUAUGCAUUUACUCAUUAAAUUCGGGAUUUAAAUAACUAAUAAAUAGCUUUUAUAGUAAAAUUCAAUUUACUAUAUUAUUUCUUUAAUAUAAAUAAUUUUUAUAUUAUUAUUUUUCAUGUUCAUGAGUUAACUCGAAUCAUUAUCUCAUAUAUAAAUAUUUCAUCCCGCUAACACAUUCGAUUUACUCUUCGUUUUGCAGAUAUUUAUAUUUUCACUAUAUAUGAAUGUAUUAGCCACACAACCAUGUCAUAUAACUUGUGCAGUUAUAUUUUAAAUAUUCACAUUGACCACCUCUUUUCAAAAACAUUUAUUCUUUUACUCACGAUAAUAAUUUAUCGCUUUAAUAGAUUUUGACAUGAUUUACUUCAUGAAUAUCUCACAAUUUUAGUUUUAUAAUCCACUUGUAGCUUAAUAUAUGGGUAUUCCAUAUCUCUUAUACCUCACUUAAGUAUUUAAGGUGAAUACAUAAUAUAUCUUUAUGUAUUGUUCAUGAUUAUAUAAUAUACGGACAAAUUAUAGCUUUUAAUUUGCUUAAUAUACCCAUUUUUGUAAAUUGUUUUGUUAAAACCCAUAAUGUUUCCAAGUAAUACUAAACAACCCCAUAAAACAAUAACAGCCCCAUGGCGUGGCCUUGCUUGGCUAAACAGCCUUUCUGAGCUUACGACGCUCACUUUGUUAAUUUCACAUUCUCAACUCGUUAAUUCAAAUUCUAUUAAGCUUUGGUUAUGUUGUAGAUUAUAUACCCGUCUACUUUUACUAACUUAUAAACUAACUUCACGGGUACGCAAACAAACUACAAAAAAAAUGCAGGUCAAACUGCUUGCCGCUUUGUGCUACUGACUGCUACUGCUGCUGCCAUGGGCAGCAGUUCCUUACGCAACAUGGCCUCUCUACAAUUUCAUAUCUUUUAGCUCAUAACUUCGAUUAUAACAAAUUUUGGAUAUAUUGUAGACACCAUAUUAGGCAAUAUUUAGAAAAUAUAAUCCACCUAUUUUGGACAUCAUAGGCAGUCCAAAACAGACCCCAAAAAUGUUUGGUCGAAACUGUUUUUUUUCCAACUUUACUCUCUCUCGCUAAAACAGUCAUAACUAAUUCGUUUUAAAACCUUUUUGAGUGAUUCUAGCGCCCACGCGAAGCUAACUUCCGGGGCUACAACUCUUAUUUAAUAACUUUUACUAAAUUCUGCACCCAUAAUUCCAGAAAAUCCGCGCAAUGGGCUGGUCAGAAUCUGAUUUCUAGUUUGACAAAUUCGACACAUUUCCUUCCAAUCACCAUAACUCCCUCAUCCGAGGUCGGAAUGAGGUCAUUCCAAAGCCUAUGGCUUCCUAACUUAGUGCACUACAACUACCCAGAAACUCAGAAUUUUUCAGGCAACAUAGUUAUUCCAGAAUUUGACACUAUAGUCACUGUUCAUUCAGUUUUUAUUUCUAGACAUGGUUUACUAAAAUCUUCAUCACGGAUUCGUUUUAACUCCGUUUUGGUUCAUUCAAGUUAGGAAAUCUUCACAACUUAGAGUCCUAUAACAUACAAUCCUCAAAUUAAGCUUUUAGACAUAAAUCAAAAGCACAAAUGAUCCUCAAGCUCAGUCCCAAAAACUAUCCAACAUAGCACUCAAAAAUGGCUUGACACACUAAUGUUUGGAGUUUUCAUUUUGGAUUAAAAUCGCCUUUCUUACUAUUUUGAUUCCUUCAAUUCUUUUAACUAACUGUAUAAAAUGUUCAUAAAUGUAAUCUUAACUUUGAUUUUUCCCAAAUUCUUAAUUUUUAAGAAAAACGGUCCAUAUAGAACUUUUGUCAAACAGUAGGUGUGCAUUAAUUUAUCAUUAUUUUAAGAAACAGAACUCAUAACCAUUUGAAGAUGAUUAUGCCAAGAAUUUCUCAAUUCUUCUACCUUAUUACUCCACACACCAUAUAUGUUCCCAUUUCUGCAAACAAUUUCACAACUGAUUUCAUAAAAAUUACCUAAACCUUUUAGUUUAAGUAUCCAUAUACUAUGAACUUACUUAGCUUACAUACCAUGUCUUCAAUUUCCAAACAUGAUUCAUAUUAGAUGUCAUAUGACUAUAACAUAUCAAUUUCUAUUGCUAUACAGACAUAGUAUUUGGUGAUUACACUAUCAAUUCCCUUUUCCACAACCAAAUUCACCACUCAUAAAUAAACUGAAACAUAUGGUUUACCUUGCAAUAAUUGAUUAAUGGGCUGGAUUUCACUUCAAUGAUCAACUUAUAUUCUAUUUUAUUUUUUUUUGCUGCUAGUUGAAAUCUUCCCCGAUCUAGAUUACAACUUCAGUUCACUAUCCUUCUUUCUUUUCUUCCACCGAAACUCAACAGAGUUUGAUUAUGAAAUAUAGCUUGGGUAAUUUCGUUAGAAGAGAUGGAAAUGGAACGGGACUUGGUUCGAUAAAGAGAACUAAAAUUACUUCAUGCCCUGCUUCACUUAUAUUGGUUUAAUAUGCUUGUUG